Molecule: ribosomal RNA, 449 nt
Filed under: uncultured bacterium
Lineage: Bacteria
Description: partial 16S ribosomal RNA
Rfam family: Bacterial small subunit ribosomal RNA
Source: RNAcentral
AACGAACGCUGGCGGCAGGCCUAACACAUGCAAGUCGAACGCUGUAGCAAUACAGAGUGGCAGACGGGUGAGUAACGCGUGGGAACCUUCCCAGUGGUACGGAAUAGCUCAGGGAAACUUGAGGUAAUACCGUAUAAGCCCCUUGGGGGAAAGAUUUAUCGCCAUUGGAUGGGCCCGCGUCGGAUUAGCUAGUUGGUGAGGUAAUGGCUCACCAAGGCGACGAUCCGUAGCUGGUUUGAGAGAAUGACCAGCCACACUGGGACUGAGACACGGCCCAGACUCCUACGGGAGGCAGCAGUGGGGAAUAUUGGACAAUGGGCGCAAGCCUGAUCCAGCCAUGCCGCGUGAGUGACGAAGGCCUUAGGGUUGUAAAGCUCUUUUAGCAGGGACGAUAAUGACGGUACCUGCAGAAUAAGCUCCGGCUAACUUCGUGCCAGCCGCCGCGGUAA